UGAGCAAAUGGGUGUCUGCCCUUGAUGCU
RNAcentral lists this non-coding RNA (29 nucleotides) under Rattus norvegicus (Norway rat). Lineage: Eukaryota; Metazoa; Chordata; Mammalia; Rodentia; Muridae. The record is from RNAcentral.